GGGGAUGAUCGGUUUCGACGUGUGUUUACUUCCGGAGGGAAGCGGGCCGAGAACGCAGAGUUAUCUCGUAAACGACCUCUGCAACCUAUAGGUGCCGAUUCCAAGCGCACCGACUUCGCCCUCGCUGCCUAAGCGAGCGCCAUGAAGUCCGUCAGCCCAGGGGCGUUCCCGACCUGGAUCCUGGCGUCGACUAGGGAACUUGCUUCAGCCCUUCGUCAUCGGGGGCUGCGGGACUCUUAGAUGACUGGGCCCGCUCACCACCUGCCUGAUGGUGGGUGAGGGGCCGAGAAAACCUUCUUCAGGCUGCGCCCGGAGAAGACUUCGGUUUGGACAUGCGGACCCGGGUUCGAUUCCCGGCAUCUCCACUU
This 368-nucleotide transfer-messenger RNA is filed under the name Demequina mangrovi. Its description in RNAcentral is "Standard tmRNA". It matches the Rfam family "transfer-messenger RNA". From Rfam's summary of the family: Bacterial tmRNA, also known as 10Sa RNA or SsrA, is named for its dual tRNA and mRNA-like properties. Its role is to liberate the mRNA from a stalled ribosome. Lineage: Bacteria; Bacillati; Actinomycetota; Actinomycetes; Micrococcales; Demequinaceae. The record is from Rfam by way of RNAcentral.